This 298-nucleotide ribosomal RNA is filed under the name uncultured bacterium. Its description in RNAcentral is "partial 16S ribosomal RNA". It matches the Rfam family "Bacterial small subunit ribosomal RNA", at positions 43 to 364 of the family's 1533-position model. The record is from RNAcentral.
UCAGGCCUAACACAUGCAAGUCGUACGAGAGUUUUUAACUCUAGUGGCGGACGGGUGAGUAACACGUGAGAAUUUGCCUUUAGGAGGGGGACAACAAUUGGAAACGAAUGCUAAUACCCCAUAUGCUUUCGAGUGAAAUGGAUUUUAUCCGCCUAGAGAGAAGCUCGCGGCUGAUUAGCUUGUUGGUAAGGUAAGAGCCUACCAAGGCGACGAUCAGUAUCUGGUUUGAGAGGACGAUCAGACACACUGGAACUGAGACACGGUCCAGACUCCUACGGGAGGCAGCAGUGGGGAAUUU